AUCUACAGCCACCCUGUAUGUGCCCGAUCUUGUCUGAUCUCGGAAGCUACGCAGGGUUGGGCCUGGUUAGUACUUGGAUGGGAGACCACCUAGGAAUACCAGGUGCUGUAGGCA
RNAcentral lists this ribosomal RNA (114 nucleotides) under Pteropus alecto (black flying fox). Lineage: Eukaryota; Metazoa; Chordata; Mammalia; Chiroptera; Pteropodidae. The record is from RNAcentral.